CCUACGGGCGGCUGCAGUGGGGAAUAUUGCACAAUGGGCGCAAGCCUGAUGCAGCCAUGCCGCGUGUGUGAAGAAGGCCUUCGGGUUGUAAAGCACUUUCAGCGGGGAGGAAGGCGGAGAGGUUAAUAACCUCAUCGAUUGACGUUACCCGCAGAAGAAGCACCGGCUAACUCCGUGCCAGCAGCCGCGGUAAUACGGAGGGUGCAAGCGUUAAUCGGAAUUACUGGGCGUAAAGCGCACGCAGGCGGUCUGUCAAGUCGGAUGUGAAAUCCCCGGGCUCAACCUGGGAACUGCAUUCGAAACUGGCAGGCUAGAGUCUUGUAGAGGGGGGUAGAAUUCCAGGUGUAGCGGUGAAAUGCGUAGAGAUCUGGAGGAAUACCGGUGGCGAAGGCGGCCCCCUGGACAAAGACUGACGCUCAGGUGCGAAAGCGUGGGGAGCAAACAGGAUUAGAUACCCGUGUAGUC
Molecule: ribosomal RNA, 465 nt
Filed under: uncultured Klebsiella sp.
Lineage: Bacteria; Pseudomonadati; Pseudomonadota; Gammaproteobacteria; Enterobacterales; Enterobacteriaceae
Description: bacterial SSU rRNA
Rfam family: Bacterial small subunit ribosomal RNA
Source: RNAcentral